This 271-nucleotide long non-coding RNA is filed under the name Ananas comosus (pineapple). RNAcentral describes it as "long non-coding RNA (ACOM_LNC022874)". Lineage: Eukaryota; Viridiplantae; Streptophyta; Magnoliopsida; Poales; Bromeliaceae. The record is from RNAcentral.
AAUGCUUUUAGAAGCACCAAGAAGAUAGUGCUUCUAAGUUUUUAGCAAUUGAAUCUACUUCUUGAUUAUUAAUAGUUUUUAGAUCAAAUACUAUUACACCUACCAUCACCAACCAUCAUCAUCCCAAUUCUAUAUUUUGUUCGUCCAAAGAUUAAAAACUAAAUAAUACCAUCGUUUUUGUGCGUUUGGAAGUAUUCUAACUCAACUCGACUAGAUAAUGUAGUCAAUAAUAGAUCAUGAAACAAUAAUACACACCAACUUACGUAAAUUG